UGAUAUAUGACCAGGAUAGUACCCUCC
This 27-nucleotide non-coding RNA is filed under the name Mus musculus (house mouse). The record is from RNAcentral. Lineage: Eukaryota; Metazoa; Chordata; Mammalia; Rodentia; Muridae.